CACGUUGGAACCGCCCCAAAGUGAGAAUAAGCCACCGAAAGGUGGUCUAAUACUUCAUAAUAUCCAUCUCGUAUGGAUUAAAGCUUUAUGCGCUUUGGGAGGGGCCUGCGUAACAUUAGCUAGUUGGUGAGGUAAAAGCUCACCAAGGCUUCGAUGUUUAACUGGUUUGAGAGGAUGACCAGUCACACUGGGACUGAGAUACGGCCCAGACUCCUACGGGAGGCAGCAGUAAGGAAUCUUCCACAAUGGGGCAACCCUGAUGGAGCAAUACCGCGUGCAGGAUGAAGCGUUUCGGCGUGUAAACUGCUUUUAUCACCGAAGAUUAUGACUGUAGGUGAAGAAUAAGGACCGGCUAACUACGUG
Molecule: ribosomal RNA, 363 nt
Filed under: uncultured bacterium
Lineage: Bacteria
Description: bacterial SSU rRNA
Rfam family: Bacterial small subunit ribosomal RNA
Source: RNAcentral